CCCUUAGAUGUUCUGGGCCGCACGCGUGCUACACUGAACGGUUCAAUGGGUAAGGUAGUGCGAAAGCAUGACCUAAUCUCGAAAUCCGUUCGUGCUGGGGAUAGAAGCUUGCAAUUAUCCUUCUUGAACGAGGAAUACCUUGUAAGCGUGAGUCAUCAUCUCACGCUGAAUACGUCCCUGCCCUUUGUACACACCGCCCGUCGCUCCUACCGAUUGAGUGUUCCGGUGAGGCUUCGGGAGAACUGGGUGGAUUGUGUUUCACAAACUGCUCGGUUUGAACUUAGUCAAACCUUAUCACUUAGAGGAAGGAGAAGUCGUGACA
This 322-nucleotide ribosomal RNA is filed under the name uncultured eukaryote. Its description in RNAcentral is "partial 18S ribosomal RNA". It matches the Rfam family "Eukaryotic small subunit ribosomal RNA", at positions 1470 to 1796 of the family's 1831-position model. The record is from RNAcentral.